GGCAAAAGCACGGGAUUGAGGAAGCAACAUAGGAACCGGAAGAGACAAUGAGGAAGCAAUACCCGAAUCUCUUUACUGAUCAAGAAGUACGAAACUCGAGGUUAGACAAAGGGAAGAAUAAAGUUGAAGACUAAGUUGGUGAAUUUGGCUAUAAUUGGUACCGAGUAUUGCAAAGCUACUUCAAGGAUCCUAAAGAAGUCGGAGAUCGUCCACACUAUCAACUACAACUGCUCGGUAUUUUAUAUCGAAACACGUUUGAGUUAUGGCAUGUAUAGGGAUUUAGUUAUUUUGUAUGUUUGUAAUGAUGAUUUUGCUAAUGAGUGAUGUGUAAGUAUUUGAUGAUGUAUGGUCAUUAAAAUGGUUAAGGAUGAAGGUGUUUGUUGUUAUGAAA
Long non-coding RNA from Gossypium raimondii (Peruvian cotton), 391 nucleotides. RefSeq lists it as uncharacterized. The transcript is spliced from 3 exons. The record is from RefSeq and is a predicted model, not a curated record. NCBI's taxonomy places the organism in Eukaryota, Viridiplantae, Streptophyta, Magnoliopsida, Malvales, Malvaceae.